AAUCAACGCUGGCGGCGUGCCUCAGACAUGCAAGUCGAACGCGAAAGUUUCCUUCGGGAGAUGAGUAGAGUGGCGCACGGGUGAGUAACACGUGAGUAAUUUACCUCGGGUGGGAUACUAACGGAACGGUGUUAAUACCGCAUAAUGCAGCGGCAUCAAUGAUGACAGUUGUUAAAGCGGGGGAGUUGGAGCAAUCCGACCUCGCGCCUGAAGAGAAGCNCGCGGCAGAUUAGCUAGUUGGUAAGGUAAUGGCUUACCAAGGCGACGAUCUGUAACGGCC
RNAcentral lists this ribosomal RNA (280 nucleotides) under uncultured bacterium. RNAcentral's name for it is "partial 16S ribosomal RNA". It matches the Rfam family "Bacterial small subunit ribosomal RNA", at positions 32 to 291 of the family's 1533-position model. The record is from RNAcentral.